This is a long non-coding RNA of Alligator mississippiensis (American alligator), 309 nucleotides long. RefSeq lists it as uncharacterized. The transcript has 3 exons. NCBI's taxonomy places the organism in Eukaryota, Metazoa, Chordata, Crocodylia, Alligatoridae. The record is from RefSeq and is a predicted model, not a curated record.
CAGAACAGGGAAGCAUGCCAGCACAGAGUCUGGGACUGAAGCCAGAGCUAUGGGGAAGCUGAAAAGAAAAGAAAUACUCCAGAAGCCAGCUUCAUGCAAAACUUAGAUGGACAUCCUGGGUCAUAACAACUUCCUUAAGAGGAAAUAAGAUUUACUGCCAGAGGCACUGAGGAAAAUUGAUUUCUGUUUGUCCUUGUCUAUAUCCUUAUUUGCAAGAAAACAGUAGCCCCGUCUUUCAAUAGCUUGCUGCCAGUCUUCAUUUUCUGCAUUAAAUGCCUCAGUUUUCCACUAGGUUGUCUUUUGGGGGGU